RNAcentral lists this ribosomal RNA (465 nucleotides) under uncultured bacterium. RNAcentral's name for it is "bacterial SSU rRNA". It matches the Rfam family "Bacterial small subunit ribosomal RNA", at positions 338 to 795 of the family's 1533-position model. The record is from RNAcentral.
CCUACGGGUUGCAGCAGUGGGGAAUAUUGCACAAUGGGCGCAAGCCUGAUGCACCCAUGCCGCGUGUGUGAAGAAGGCCUUCGGGUUGUAAAGCACUUUCAGCGGGGAGGAAGGCGGUGAGGUUAAUACUCUCACCGAUUGACGUUACCCGCAGAAGAAGCACCGGCUAACUCCGUGCCAGCAGCCGCGGUAAUACGGAGGGUGCAAGCGUUAAUCGGAAUGACUGGGCGUAAAGCGCACGCAGGCGGUUUGUUAAGUCAGAUGUGAAAUCCCCGAGCUUAACUUGGGAACUGCAUUUGAAACUGGCAAGCUAGAGUCUUGUAGAGGGGGGUAGAAUUCCAGGUGUAGCGGUGAAAUGCGUAGAGAUCUGGAGGAAUACCGGUGGCGAAGGCGGCCCCCUGGACAAAGACUGACGCUCAGGUGCGAAAGCGUGGGGAGCAGACAGGAUUAGAUACCCCGGUAGUC